Molecule: ribosomal RNA, 253 nt
Filed under: uncultured bacterium
Lineage: Bacteria
Description: partial 16S ribosomal RNA
Rfam family: Bacterial small subunit ribosomal RNA
Source: RNAcentral
UACGUAGGUGGCAAGCGUUGGCCGGAUUUAUUGGGCUUAAAGGGUGCGUAGGCGGCCCUGUAAGUCAGUGCUGAAAUAUCCCGGCUUAACCGGGAGGGUGGCAUUGAUACUGCGGGGCUAGAGUACAGAUGAGGUAGGCGGAAUUGACGGUGUAGCGGUGAAAUGCUUAGAUAUCGUCAAGAACACCUAUAGCGAAGGCAGCUUACUAGGCUGUAACUGACGCUGAGGCACGAAAGUGUGGGGAUCAAACAGG